This is a ribosomal RNA of 355 nucleotides. It matches the Rfam family "Eukaryotic large subunit ribosomal RNA", at positions 612 to 944 of the family's 3401-position model.
GGCCGGUAUUCGGUGUCUAGUCGGUCACCCAUUUGACCCGUCUUGAAACACGGACCAAGGAGUUUAAGGUUUGCGCGAGUCAUUGGGUGUGAAACUCAAAGGCGAAAUGAAAGUGGGACACUUGGUGUCUGUGAUGCGAUCCGUGCAUGAUUCGUUGUGUGCGGAGCAGCAUCGACCCAUGACCAGAACUUGUUCUGUUGUGGAGUCUGAGCGUAAGCUUUGAGACCCGAAAGAUGGUGAACUAUGCCUGAACAGGACGAAGUCAGAGGAAACUCUGAUGGAAGUCCGAAGCGGUUCUGACGUGCAAAUCGAUCGUCUGAUUUGGGUAUAGGGGCGCAAGACUAAUCAACUAAUC